GGCGAUGAUGUCUAGGGGGUCUUAAAGGAUGAUCCCCCACACUGGUACUGAGACACGGACCAGACUCCUACGGGAGGCAGCAGUGAGGAAUAUUGGGCAAUGGGCGAAAGCCUGACCCAGCCAUGCCGCGUGCAGGAAGAAUGCUUUACGAGUUGUAAACUGCUUUUGUAUGGGAAGAACUCCCCCGAAUCCUCGGGGACUGACGGUACCAUACGAAUAAGGAUCGGCUAACUCCGUGCCAGCAGCCGCGGUAAUACGGAGGAUCCAAGCGUUAUCCGGAUUUAUUAGGUUUAAAGGGUGUGUAGGCGGAAUAAUAAGGCAGUGGUGAAAUCCUACAGCUUAACUGUAGAACUGCCAUUGAUACUGUUUUUCUUGAGUAUAGUUGAGGUGAGCGGAAUGUGUCAUGUAGCGGUGAAAUGCUCAGAUAUGCCACAGAACUCCGAUUGCGUAGGCAGCUCACUAAACUAAUACUGACGCUGAUGCACGAAAGCGCGGGGAGCAAACAGGAUUAGAUACCCUGGUAGUCCGCGCCGUAAACGAUGAUUACUCGAUGUAUGCGACAAAUUGUAUGCGUCUGAGCGAAAGCAUUAAGUAAUCCACCUGGGGAGUACGAUCGCAAGAUUGAAACUCAAAGGAAUUGACGGGGGCCCGCACAAGCGGAGGAACAUGUGGUUUAAUUCGAUGAUACGCGAGGAACCUUACCUGGGCUUAAAUGCUUUUUGAUUUUCCGGGAAACUGGGAUUCCCUUCGGGGCAGAUUGCAAGGUGCUGCAUGGCUGUCGUCAGCUCGUGCCGUGAGGUGUCGGGUUAAGUCCCAUAACGAGCGCAACCCCUAUUAUUAGUUGCCAGCGGAUAAUGCCGGGGACUCUAAUAAGACUGCCAGUGUAAACUGUGAGGAAGGUGGGGAUGACGUCAAGUCAGCACGGCCCUUAUGUCCAGGGCUACACACGUGUUACAAUGGCCGAUACAGAAAGCAGCUACUUGGCAACAAGAUGCUAAUCUCAAAAGUCGGUCUCAGUUCGGAUCGGAGUCUGCAAUUCGACUUCGUGAAGUUGGAUUCGCUAGUAAUCGUAUAUCAGCAAUGAUACGGUGAAUACGUUCCCGGGCCUUGUACACACCGCCCGUCAAGCCAUGGAAGUUGGGGGUACCUAAAAUUCGUAACCGCAAGGAGCGACCUAGGGUAAAACCAGUAACUGGGGCUAAGUCGUAACAAGGUA
Molecule: ribosomal RNA, 1216 nt
Filed under: metagenome
Description: bacterial SSU rRNA
Rfam family: Bacterial small subunit ribosomal RNA
Source: RNAcentral